Molecule: ribosomal RNA, 253 nt
Filed under: uncultured bacterium
Lineage: Bacteria
Description: partial 16S ribosomal RNA
Rfam family: Bacterial small subunit ribosomal RNA
Source: RNAcentral
UACGUAGGGGGCUAGCGUUGUCCGGAAUCAUUGGGCGUAAAGAGCGUGUAGGCGGCCCGGUAAGUCCGCUGUGAAAGUCGGGGGCUCAACCCUCGGAUGCCGGUGGAUACUGUCGGGCUCGAGUACGGAAGAGGCGAGUGGAAUUCCUGGUGUAGCGGUGGAAUGCGCAGAUAUCAGGAGGAACACCCAUAGCGAAGGCAGCUUGCUGGGACGUUACUGACGCUAAGGCGCGAAAGCGUGGGGAGCGAACAGG